RNAcentral lists this ribosomal RNA (253 nucleotides) under uncultured bacterium. RNAcentral describes it as "partial 16S ribosomal RNA". It matches the Rfam family "Bacterial small subunit ribosomal RNA", at positions 524 to 776 of the family's 1533-position model. The record is from RNAcentral.
UACGUAGGGGGCUAGCGUUGUCCGGAAUCAUUGGGCGUAAAGAGCGUGUAGGCGGUCCGGUAAGUCCGCUGUGAAAGUCGGGGGCUCAACCCUCGAAAGCCGGUGGAUACUGUCGGGCUAGAGUGCGGAAGAGGCGAGUGGAAUUCCUGGUGUAGCGGUGAAAUGCGCAGAUAUCAGGAGGAACACCAAUUGCGAAGGCAGCUCGCUGGGACGUUACUGACGCUGAGACGCGAAAGCGUGGGGAGCAAACAGG